Molecule: long non-coding RNA, 1132 nt
Organism: Manis pentadactyla (Chinese pangolin)
Lineage: Eukaryota; Metazoa; Chordata; Mammalia; Pholidota; Manidae
Exons: 3
Source: RefSeq, a predicted model, not a curated record
GGGAGGGGGCGGGCGCCCGGCGGAGAGGAUGACGUGAUGCUCUUCGGGCCCCGCGGGCCGCAGUUUCCCAAGCGGUCGCCGCAGCGCGGCCGGCGACGGUCUGGCCCGCUACCGCCACCCCCUCGGGGCCGCGACUCCCGCUAAGUGGCCUCCAGAACUCCCUACCACUUGGGAGCUCCCCUUCUACUUCUGAGAAUUCGCAGAUCCAUACCUGAGCCUGUCCUCCUAAGAGAAAGAGGGAAUGAGGAGGAGAGAAAAAUGCCUCCUGGUCCUUGUCUUGGGGUCCUCUUAUUUGGUUUCCCACAAAAGCUAGAAGUAGGAGAAUCUGAAGUUCUAAGACAUGGCAAAACAGAAGACAGGCGCCUGGAUCCCUGAAUCAAGCACAUGGAGGAAAGGCUCCGGCUGACCUUGAACACCCACACUUGACUGUUUUGUGAACAAGAAAUUUAUUUAUUUCAAUUAUGUUAAGCUGCUGGUACUACAGGGUUUAUUUGUUACGGCAGCUAGCAUUACUAUCACCAAAGCAGAUGCUGGCAGUGGGGGAAAUCAGGCCAUAGAGAGCCAUGAAGGUGCACUGUAAAGAGUUUACCUUUGAGGAAAAUGAAGUCACUGCAGAGUUGUGAACAAGGAGUGUCAUGAUCUGACUUAGUUCAAAGGGUAUGCAAGACACUGUUUUAAGUACUCUAUGUAUUAACUCUGUCUAGAACUUGCCCCUGAACUCAGGAUUUAUAUAUCCAAUUGACUCCUUAUCAUCUCAAUGUAGAGGUCUAAGAGGCAUCUCAAAAGUUAGCAUAUUCCAAAUAAAAUUCCUGAUUUGCCCCCAUAAUGUUGCCCCUUCCCUCCUCCCCAUCUCAGUAAAUGGUACCCCCAUUCUUUCAGCUCAUGCAAAACCUUACACUCAUUCUUGAUUUUUCCCUCUCUCUCUCUGUCUCUCUUCCUACCUGCCACAUAUACACACAUUCCACAUCAUACCCAUUAGAAAAUUCUAUUAGUUCAGAAAUUUAUAACAAUAAGGAUAGCACAGUAAUAAAAUUUUAAGCCCUUUAAAAUUGUCUAGUUCACUAAGAAUGGACUAACAGUUAUCAAAGGGAAAGGGACUGGGGAGGAUGGGUGGGAAGGGAGGGAUAAGGUG